Molecule: ribosomal RNA, 486 nt
Filed under: uncultured bacterium
Lineage: Bacteria
Description: bacterial SSU rRNA
Rfam family: Bacterial small subunit ribosomal RNA
Source: RNAcentral
GAUGAACGCUGGCGGCGUGCUUAACACAUGCAAGUCGAACGAUGAUCUCCAGCUUGCUGGGGGGAUUAGUGGCGAACGGGUGAGUAACACGUGAGUAACCUGCCCUUGACUCUGGGAUAAGCCUGGGAAACUGGGUCUAAUACCGGAUAUGACCAUUCCACGCAUGUGGUGGUGGUGGAAAGCUUUUGCGGUUUUGGAUGGACUCGCGGCCUAUCAGCUUGUUGGUGGGGUAAUGGCCUACCAAGGCGACGACGGGUAGCCGGCCUGAGAGGGUGACCGGCCACACUGGGACUGAGACACGGCCCAGACUCCUACGGGAGGCAGCAGUGGGGAAUAUUGCACAAUGGGCGGAAGCCUGAUGCAGCGACGCCGCGUGAGGGAUGACGGCCUUCGGGUUGUAAACCUCUUUCAGUAGGGAAGAAGCGUAAGUGACGGUACCUGCAGAAGAAGCGCCGGCUAACUACGUGCCAGCAGCCGCAGUAACAC